UUAUAAAACACAGCCGGACGGAAAGAUUGUUAAUAAAUAUUGAUGCUGAACGAGAAACAAAACAGAAAGUCGUAGCGGCAAAAUGAAGAAGAACUUUUGGUGGAAAUUUGGGCCGAUAAAAUUAGCCAGCUUCGUGGGCAGAAAAAAAAAUUACAACAACUGCAUUGCAAUGAAAAGUUUUAAAAAGUAUUGUGAAAUAUUUUAAUUUUGAUGAAUUUGUGAUUUGUAAAAUGUCAUAUACCAACGUCAAAAUAAAUCUUGGAAAUGUCAAAAUAAA
This is a long non-coding RNA of Episyrphus balteatus (marmalade hoverfly), 277 nucleotides long. RefSeq lists it as uncharacterized. The transcript is spliced from 2 exons. The record is from RefSeq and is a predicted model, not a curated record. Lineage: Eukaryota; Metazoa; Arthropoda; Insecta; Diptera; Syrphidae.